This is a non-coding RNA of Momordica charantia (bitter melon), 1018 nucleotides long. The record is from RefSeq and is a predicted model, not a curated record. NCBI's taxonomy places the organism in Eukaryota, Viridiplantae, Streptophyta, Magnoliopsida, Cucurbitales, Cucurbitaceae.
AAAGAAGCUUGAAAUUAUCUAAGACAUGAGAAAUUAGGAGGUGCUGCGCGAGACAGAAAAUUGAUGGAGAACGUUGGGGUAAAUCUACGCACGGCCGACCAGGUUCAAAGUAGUGUAGGUCAGCCACGACAACUUAAGCGAGCAAGUGAACAGCCAAGCCUCAAACACCGCAACAAGGAAUGGACCGGUAAACGGUACGGACCAAAGGUCGUUUGGGAGAAUCCUGUCCGAGCAGUGGAAUACACUGAUGAGACUCGUAUCUACCCCAUAUACCGCUAUAAAUACGUCAUUCACCCAUGGACUCAGGUAUUCGAGAAUCGUUCUAAGUGUUGCCGGCCUACCUCAGAGCUCGUCUUCCGUACCUCGGUAGAAUUUUGCAUCAACAUAGAACUUAAAAAAAAUACCUUGGAAGACCGUAAUCUUAUUGAUUUGGGUUAUCAAGGAAGUCAUUUCACUUGGUGUAGAAAUUGGAGUUCAGAGGCUCCGAUUCACAAACAAUUGAUCGUUUCUUAGCUUGGAAGAUGGGGGAAGUUUGUUAAUAGAGAGUUGAGCAACCAAAUAAGGAGCUAGAAAAGUGCCUUAGCAGAGGCUUACAAUCAACAAUCUCAUCUAGAUUUCACUUUUAUUUCAUCAUUGAGAGGAAUCUCUUGACAAGAUUUAUGAGGAGGACGAGGUUUAUUGGCGACAGGACUCACGAGAAAAUUGGUUUCAGUGGAGAGACAGACACACAAGUUGGUUUCAUAGGAAGGCUUAUGCGAGGAAGAAAAAAAAUGAGAUCAUGGGCAUAAUUGAUAAAGAUGGAAACUGGGUGACAAGUGCAAAAGAUAUUGAGAGAAUGUUCAAAGAGUAUUUCCCCUCGAUCUUCGCCUCUGUAAAGUCGACAAAUGGCAGAAUGGUUGCCAUUCUUCAGUGUAUUUCUAUUGGACUUAUGUUAGUUUGACAGGUAGGAAGUUUGUUAUAUUUUUUAUUGUAAUUUGUCAAUGGCCUAUAUAUGGUCUACUUAUAAUAAAGUAAAGUA